RNAcentral lists this long non-coding RNA (715 nucleotides) under Rosa chinensis. RNAcentral's name for it is "sRNA RchiOBHm_Chr3g0474701". The stretch from base 1 to 99 matches the Rfam family "Small nucleolar RNA Z266". Lineage: Eukaryota; Viridiplantae; Streptophyta; Magnoliopsida; Rosales; Rosaceae. The record is from RNAcentral.
GCUUGGCAAGAGUGAUGAUUCAAUUAGAUGUGUGAAAAGAGAUAUCCUUUUUUGUGAACUUAAUUGUUUGAGGCAUAACAUUUGUCUGACUUGCCUGCCAUUUUAACCUUUCGAAAGUUUUCAUUUAAUUUACUUAUUGUAGUUGUUUACUUUGAAUUCAAAUGGUAAUGAACUCUAUCUGGACUAUAUGAACUGGUUGUGUUUUAAUGGACUUGGCAAGAGUGAUGAUUCAAUUAGAUGUGUGAAAAGGGAAACCCUUUUUGUGAACUUACUUUUUUGAGGCAUAAUUUUGUCUGACUUGCCUACCUUCAGAGUCUAUUUAGAUUUCAGUUAUCUUAGUUGUCUGCAAUGUAGGUGAAUUUGUUAUCUUGGAAAUGUGCUUAGGAAAUGAUCUCUCUAGAUAAAUGUAGAUUGGUUGUGUUUGGCAAGAGUGAUGAUUCAAUUAGAUGUGUGAAAAGGGAACUCCUUUUUGUGAACUUAAAAUUUUUGAGGCAUAAGUUUGUCUGACUUGCCCACAAUCGUAGUCUAUUUUAUUUAGUUCUCUUAGCUAGUCUAUUUUAGUUAGUUCUCUUAGCUGUUUGUUCUAUCUAGGUUGCUUUUAAGUUAAUGUUUGAAAUGAGUUUGGCAAGAGUGAUGAUUCAAUUAGAUGUGUGAAAAGGGAAAUCCUUUUUUUGAACUCAAUUGUUUGAGGCAUAACAUGUCUGACUUGCCUGGC